RNAcentral lists this ribosomal RNA (2301 nucleotides) under Rathayibacter sp. AY1D2. Its description in RNAcentral is "bacterial LSU rRNA". It matches the Rfam family "Bacterial large subunit ribosomal RNA", at positions 1 to 2116 of the family's 2925-position model. The record is from RNAcentral. Lineage: Bacteria; Bacillati; Actinomycetota; Actinomycetes; Micrococcales; Microbacteriaceae.
GCAAGUUCAUAAGAGCAAACGGUGAAUGCCUUGGCAUCUGGAGCCGAAGAAGGACGUCGUAAUCUGCGAUAAGCCUCGGGGAGCUGAUAAACGAGCUGUGAUCCGAGGAUUUCCGAAUGGGGAAACCCCGCCAGGCCCCUUGUGGUGACCUGGUGACUCCCGCCUGAAUAUAUAGGGCGGGUAGAGGGAACGUGGGGAAGUGAAACAUCUCAGUACCCACAGGAAGAGAAAACAACAGUGAUUCCGUCAGUAGUGGCGAGCGAACGCGGAAGAGGCUAAACCGAGUCAUGUGUGAUACCCGGCAGGGGUUGCAUGGCCGGGGUUGUGGGACUUUUCGUUCCGGUCUGCCGGCCGGUGAACGUUACAGCGCAUCAUAGACGAACAGGUUUGAACGCCUGGCCAGAGCGGGUGCGAGCCCCGUAGUCGAAAUGGUGUUAUGGCGUGAAGAGUAUCCCAAGUAGCACGGGGCCCGAGAAAUCCCGUGUGAAUCUGUCAGGACCACCUGAUAAGCCUAAAUACUCCCAGAUGACCGAUAGCGGACAAGUACCGUGAGGGAAAGGUGAAAAGUACCCCGGGAGGGGAGUGAAAUAGUACCUGAAACCGUUUGCUUACAAACCGUCGGAGCCUCCUUGUAGGGGUGACGGCGUGCCUUUUGAAGAAUGAGCCUGCGAGUUAGUGCUCUGUGGCGAGGUUAACCCGUGUGGGGCAGCCGUAGCGAAAGCGAGUCCGAAUAGGGCGAUUCAGUCGCAGGGUCUAGACCCGAAGCGAAGUGAUCUAUCCAUGGCCAGGUUGAAGCGACGGUAAGACGUCGUGGAGGACCGAACCCACUUCAGUUGAAAAUGGAGGGGAUGAGCUGUGGAUAGGGGUGAAAGGCCAAUCAAACUUCGUGAUAGCUGGUUCUCUCCGAAAUGCAUUUAGGUGCAGCGUUGCGUGUUUCUUGCCGGAGGUAGAGCUACUGGAUGGCCGAUGGGGCCCAAAAGCUUACUGACGUCAGCCAAACUCCGAAUGCCGGUAAGUGAGAGCGCAGCAGUGAGACUGUGGGGGAUAAGCUUCAUAGUCGAGAGGGAAACAACCCAGACCACCAACUAAGGUCCCUAAGCGCGUGCUAAGUGGGAAAGGAUGUGGAGUUGCACAGACAACCAGGAGGUUGGCUUAGAAGCAGCCACCCUUGAAAGAGUGCGUAAUAGCUCACUGGUCAAGUGAUUCCGCGCCGACAAUGUAACGGGGCUCAAGCACGCCACCGAAGUUGUGGCAUUGACAUUAGUGGUAGGCCUUCGUGGUCCAGCCGUGUUGAUGGGUAGGAGAGCGUCGUGUGGCGAGUGAAGCGGCGGUGUGAACCAGCCGUGGAUGCCACACGAGUGAGAAUGCAGGCAUGAGUAGCGAAAGACGGGUGAGAAACCCGUCCUCCGGAAGACCAAGGGUUCCAGGGUCAAGCUAAUCUUCCCUGGGUAAGUCGGGACCUAAGGCGAGGCCGACAGGCGUAGUCGAUGGACAACGGGUUGAUAUUCCCGUACCGGCGAAGAACCGCCCAAGACAAUCCAGUAGUGCUAAGUAUCUGAAUCCCUUUGAUGGAUCCCUUCGGGGUGAAGCGUUGGGCCUAGCGUACGACCCCGUGCUGGUGCGUUUAGCGUAUUAACAGGUGUGACGCAGGAAGGUAGCCGAGCCGGGCGAUGGUUGUCCCGGUCUAAGGAUGUAGGGCGAACGAUAGGCAAAUCCGUCGUUCAUAAAGCCUGAGAUCUGAUGGGUAGACGCAAGUCGAAAUCGGUGAUCCUAUGCUGCCAAGAAAAGCAUCGACGCGAGGUUCUAGCUGCCCGUACCCCAAACCGACUCAGGUGGUCAGGUAGAGAAUACUAAGGAGAUCGAGAGAAUCGUGGUUAAGGAACUCGGCAAAAUGCCCCCGUAACUUCGGGAGAAGGGGGGCCUGAGGCGUGAACGGACUUGCUCCGGGAGCGUUCGAUGGCCGCAGAGACCAGUGGGAAGCGACUGUUUACUAAAAACACAGGUCCGUGCUAAGUCGCAAGACGAUGUAUACGGACUGACGCCUGCCCGGUGCUGGAAGGUUAAGAGGAACGGUUAGCCGCAAGGCGAAGCUGAGAAUUUAAGCCCCAGUAAACGGCGGUGGUAACUAUAACCAUCCUAAGGUAGCGAAAUUCCUUGUCGGGUAAGUUCCGACCUGCACGAAUGGCGUAACGACUUCCCAGCUGUCUCAACCGCGAACUCGGCGAAAUUGCAUUACGAGUAAAGAUGCUCGUUACGCGCAGCAGGACGGAAAGACCCCGUGACCUUUACUAUAGUUUGGUA